GCCUGGGAAACCGGGUCUAAUACCGGUAUGACCUGUUACCGCAUGGUGGCGGGUGGAAAGAUUAUUGGUUUUGGAUGGACUCGCGGCCUAUCAGCUUGUUGGUGGGGUAAUGGCCUACCAAGGCGACGACGGGUAGCCGGCCUGAGAGGGUGACCGGCCACACUGGGACUGAGACACGGCCCAGACUCCUACGGGAGGCAGCAGUGGGGAAUAUUGCACAAUGGGCGCAAGCCUGAUGCAGCGACGCCGCGUGAGGGAUGACGGCCUUCGGGUUGUAAACCUCUUUCAGCAGGGAAGAAGCGGAAGUGACGGUACCUGCAGAAGAAGCGCCGGCUAACUACGUGCCAGCAGCCGCGGUAAUA
Molecule: ribosomal RNA, 362 nt
Filed under: Crystallibacter crystallopoietes
Lineage: Bacteria; Bacillati; Actinomycetota; Actinomycetes; Micrococcales; Micrococcaceae
Description: bacterial SSU rRNA
Rfam family: Bacterial small subunit ribosomal RNA
Source: RNAcentral